This 253-nucleotide ribosomal RNA is filed under the name uncultured bacterium. RNAcentral's name for it is "partial 16S ribosomal RNA". It matches the Rfam family "Bacterial small subunit ribosomal RNA", at positions 524 to 776 of the family's 1533-position model. The record is from RNAcentral.
UACGUAGGGGGCAAGCGUUGUCCGGAAUUAUUGGGCGUAAAGAGCGUGUAGGCGGUCCGGUAAGUCAGCUGUGAAAGCCCCGGGCUUAACCUGGGAACUGCGUUUGAAACUGGGGAGCUAGAGUGUAGAAGAGGGGGGUGGAAUUCCAGGUGUAGCAGUGAAAUGCGUAGAUAUCUGGAGGAACACCGAUGGCGAAGGCAGCCCCCUGGGCUAACACUGACGCUCAUGCACGAAAGCGUGGGGAGCAAACAGG